AGUGAACGCUGGCGGUAGGCCUAACACAUGCCAGUCGAACGGCAGCACAGUAAGAGCUUGCUCUUACGGGUGGCGAGUGGCGGACGGGUGAGGAAUACAUCGGAAUCUACUUUUUCGUGGGGGAUAACGUAGGGAAACUUACGCUAAUACCGCAUACGACCUACGGGUGAAAGCAGGGGAUCUUCGGACCUUGCGCGAUUGAAUGAGCCGAUGUCGGAUUAGCUAGUUGGCGGGGUAAAGGCCCACCAAGGCGACGAUCCGUAGCUGGUCUAAGAGGAUGACAAGCCACACGGGAACGGAGAACGGGCCCAGACCCCCAGGGGAGGCAGCAGGGGGAAAUUUGGGGAAAGGGGGGAAAGCCUGCUCCAGCCAGCCCGGGGGGGUGAAGAAGGCCUUCGGGUUGUAAAGCCCUUUUGUUGGGAAAAAAAAGCAGCAGGUUAAGCCCCCGCUGUUCUGACGGUACCAAAAAAAAAAGCACCGGUAAAUUUCGG
RNAcentral lists this ribosomal RNA (491 nucleotides) under uncultured bacterium. Its description in RNAcentral is "partial 16S ribosomal RNA". It matches the Rfam family "Bacterial small subunit ribosomal RNA", at positions 29 to 506 of the family's 1533-position model. The record is from RNAcentral.